AAGAGCAAGCAAGCAAGCAUCGGACCGGCUGAGGCUGCGCAGCUGGGAAGGGACAGCGGCUACUGCAGCACUAGGGUGUCAGUUGUGGGUCCUGCCCGGAACACUUCAGGUCUGCUCUGCAAGGAUAUAUAAUAACUGAUUGGUGUGUCCAUUUAAUACAAGAAAAUGGAAACUGAACAGCCAGAGGAAACCUUCCCCAACACUGAAACCAACGGUGAAUUUGGUAAAGGCCCUGCAGAAGAUAUGGAAGACGAACAAGCAUUUAAAAGGUCUAGAAACACUGAUGAGAUGGUUGAAUUAUGCAAUCUGCUUCAGAGCAAGAAUGCUGGGGCAGUGAUUGGAAAAGGAGGCAAGAAUAUUAAGGCUCUGUGUACUGACUACAAUGCCAGUGUUUCAGUCCCAGACUGCAGUGGCCCCGAGCGCAUAUUGAGUAUCAGUGCUGAUAUUGAAACAAUUGGAGAAAUUCUGAAGGAAAUCAUCCCUACCUUGGAAGAAGGCCUGCAGUUGCCAUCACCCACUGCAACCAGCCAGCUCCCACUAGAAUCUGAUGCUGUGGAAUGCUUAAAUUACCAGCACUAUAAAGGAAGCGACUUUGACUGCAAGUUGAGAAUGUUGAUUCAUCAGAGUCUGGUGGGAGGAAUUAUUGGGGUCAAAGGUGCUAAAAUCAAAUAACUUUGUGAGAAUACUCAAACAACAAUCAAGCUUUUCCAGGAAUGCUGUCCUCAUUCCACUGACCCAUUCCAAUAAGUCAUUCUUAUUUGAGGAAAACCUGGUAAAGUUGUAGAAUGCAUAAAGAUCAUUCUCGAUCUUAUAUCUGAGUCUCUCAUCAAAGGACGUGCACAGCCUUAUGAUCCCAGUUUUUACGAUGAGACCUAUGAUUAUGGUGGUUUUACAAUGAUGUUUGACAACCACCGUGAACGGCCUGUAGGAUUUCCAAUGCGGGGAAGGGGUGGUUUUGACAGAAUGCCUCCUGGUCGGGGCGGGUGUCCCAUGCCUCCAUCUGGAAGAGAUUAUGAUGAUUUGAGCCCUCGUAGAGGACCACCUCCCCCUCCUCUUGGGUGAGGUGUCCAAGGUGGUAGUAGAACUCCGAAUCUCCCUCUUCCUCCACCACAACUUCUUAGAGGAGGAGAUCUAAUGGCCUAUGAUAGAAGAGGAAGACCAGGAGACCACUACGAUGGCAUGGUUGGUUUCAGUGCUAAUGAAACUUGGGAUUCUGCAAUAGAUACACGGAGCCCAUCAGAAUGGCAGAUGGCUUAUGAACCAAAGGGUGGCUCUGGAUAUGAUUAUUCCUAUGCAGGGGGUUGUGGCUCAUAUGGUGAUCUUGGUGGACCUUUUAUUACUACACAAGUAACUAUUCCCAAAGAUUUGGCUGGAUCUAUUAUUGGCAAAGGUGGUCAGUGGAUUAAACAAAUCCGUCAUGAGUCAGAGCUUCAAUCAAAAUCAAUGAGCCUUUAGGAGGAUCCGAAGAUUGGAUCAUUACCAUUACAGGAACACAGGACCAGAUACAGAAUGUACAGUAUUUGCUGCAGAACAGUGUGAAGCAGUAUGCAGAUGUUGAAGGAUUCUAAUGCAAGAUAUUUUUUCUUUUUUAUAGUGUGAAGCAGUAUUCUGGAAAGUUUUUCUAAGACUAGUGACGAACUGAAAGAGUCCUGCAUCUUUUUUUUUUUUUAUCUGGUUCUGUUUAAAAAGCCAACAUUCCUCUCCUUCAUAGGUGUUUUGCAUUUGAGGUGUAGUGAAAUCUUUGCUGUUCACCAGAUGUAAUGUUUUAGUUCCUUACAAACAGGGUUGGGGGAGGAGGGCAUCCAAAAACUAACAUUGAAAUUUUGAAACAGCAGCAGAGUGAGUGAAUUUUAUUUUUUGUUCAUUGUUGGUGGUUUAAAAAAAGUUUCCCCCAUGUAAUAAUUGUGAACACCUUGCUUUGUGGUCACAUUUGGGGGUGGGACAGGGAGGAAACUAACAAUAGUCCACAUGUCUCUGGCAUCUGUUUAGAGCAGUGUGCAGAAUGUUAUGCUGUUUUGUAAGAAAUGUUUUAUGAUUUUUAAAAUAAAUUUAGUGAACCAAAAAAAAAAAAAAAGAAAGAAAAGAAAAAAGAAAGCAUCAAUUGCCUUGGACACUGUCGUCUACAUGAGACACCUGGAAAUGAGGCAGCCAUCUUGGGACCAUGAAGGGCCAGUCUAUAAGAGAAGCCAACACAACAAGGAGGGUAUUGCAGAAAGACAAAAAGACCCUGGUCCUUGCUGUUACAGUUGAGUCUCUGAAUUAACCAACCCUAGGACUUCUUGUUGUGUCAGAUAAUAAAAUUCCUUUUUGCCUAAAGCCCUUCUAGCUAGGCUUUGUGCUGUCACUUGCACCAAAAGCUACAAUAGGCAAGCAAAGGAUAUGUACAUAAGUGAUUUGCCUAGAGGAAACCCCAGAUGGCCAAUGAGCACAGUAAGAUGCUCGACCUCAUAGGCAGGGAAUGCAGCUUCAAAUGAGAUACCAGUUCACACUCAUCGGAUUGGCAAAAAUAAGUCUAACAAGAGCAAACAUUGGCAAGGAGAUGGUCACACAGGACAUCUUGUACAAAUAAAUGCUGGUGGUGAGAGGAUAAAUUGGUUCGGCUGCUGCAGAGAGCAGUCUGGCAGUACCAGUGAAGUUGAAAGUGUACCUGCCCUACAAUCCCAGCUUUCUACUUCUAAGUAUAUACUCUAAAGUUGGGUUUUGAGAAAAGUGCAAGGGUGUUUAUGCAGCCCUCCUUAAAAUAGUGAAACAUUGAAACAAUCUAAAUGCCCAUCAGUAGAGGAACUGAUAAAUAAAUUAUGGCUUAAUCACAUGAUAAAAUAAUAAACAGAAGUCAAAAUGAGCAAACCAAAUGGACAAAUGAGACUCCACUGCGAAAGUAUGGUGAGUGGGAAAAGGCACAAAAUGGUACAAAUAAUAGUGUGAUAGCUGUUACAUAAAUUUUAAAAAUAUAGAACUCCAUAAAGCAGCACUACUAUGUGCUGCUGUUUUAUGAAUACUUAAGUGUGUAGGGAAAAUGUGAAAUUAUGGACUAUACUUAAAAAGGAAGGA
Microcebus murinus (gray mouse lemur) is the source of this 3051-nucleotide non-coding RNA. NCBI's taxonomy places the organism in Eukaryota, Metazoa, Chordata, Mammalia, Primates, Cheirogaleidae. The record is from RefSeq and is a predicted model, not a curated record.